GUGCUUGGCUUCAGAAGCACAUAUGCCAAAAUAAUUAGAACGAUACAGAGAAGAUUAGCAUGGCCCCUGCACAAGGAUGACAUGCAAAUUUGUGAAGCGUUCCAUAUUUUU
This is a small nuclear RNA of Gorilla gorilla gorilla (western lowland gorilla), 111 nucleotides long. The record is from Rfam. NCBI's taxonomy places the organism in Eukaryota, Metazoa, Chordata, Mammalia, Primates, Hominidae.